UGAUAAUUUUUAAGGCAUUUU
RNAcentral lists this non-coding RNA (21 nucleotides) under Caenorhabditis elegans. Lineage: Eukaryota; Metazoa; Nematoda; Chromadorea; Rhabditida; Rhabditidae. The record is from RNAcentral.